CAAAUGUUUGAUAUUGUAUUAUUAUUGAGGAUUGUUUAUAAAGCACGCACGUAAAGGCUUUUUUUCUUAAAAUGUCAAUGAGAGUGAAUAAACAUUUUGAUACCAGUCUCAACAGCCCCAAUGAAGAGAUGUACCAAACAUAUGCAAACGCUAUUAAGUCAGCAAUUGAAGACAGUUACAAAACUUUGUCUAUCUACAUUAAAAAUUCAGCAAAAGUCACUCAAUUCAGGCCCUGUAGCAUUAUAGCAGAUUAUGAAUUUAGUGUCACAGCAUACACCCUCGGCAGCCCCAGCGGCGCCAACAGCAAUGAUUUUGCGUCAGC
Molecule: long non-coding RNA, 322 nt
Organism: Onychostoma macrolepis
Lineage: Eukaryota; Metazoa; Chordata; Actinopteri; Cypriniformes; Cyprinidae
Exons: 3
Source: RefSeq, a predicted model, not a curated record